This 315-nucleotide ribosomal RNA is filed under the name uncultured archaeon. Its description in RNAcentral is "bacterial SSU rRNA". It matches the Rfam family "Archaeal small subunit ribosomal RNA", at positions 1029 to 1343 of the family's 1478-position model. The record is from RNAcentral.
UUUAGUCAGGCAACGAGCGAGACCUGUGCUUACACUUGCUAACGAGUCAGUAAUGAUGAUCGAGCACACUGUAAGAACUGCCUCUGAAAAGGGGAGGAAGGUGCAGGCUACGGUAGGUCUGUAUGCUCCGAAUCUUCUGGGCUACACGCGCGCAACAAUGGUAUGGACAAUGGGCUACAACUCCGAAAGGAGAAGUUAAUCCUCGAAACCAUAUCCAAGUCCAGAUUGAGGAUUGUAACUCAUCCUCAUGACGCUGGAAUCCCUAGUAAUCGGAGUUUAUCAUAUUCCGGUGAAUAUGUCCCUGCUCCUUGCACA